This 3557-nucleotide long non-coding RNA is filed under the name Triticum aestivum (bread wheat). Its description in RNAcentral is "long non-coding RNA (TAES_LNC025516)". The record is from RNAcentral. Lineage: Eukaryota; Viridiplantae; Streptophyta; Magnoliopsida; Poales; Poaceae.
GCUGAUCCUUUGGUCUCCCUUUGUAACGCCCUCGAUGCGGCUAUAUCUCCCACGUGUCAAAGCACGACUUAGAGGCAUAACCGCAUUGAAAGCAAUGUCACAAGUGAUGUAAUCUUCACACAACCCAUGUAAUACAUAAGGGAAAGAGAUACAUAGUUGGCUUACAAUCGCCACUUCACACAACUACAUGAAUAAAGCAUCACAUCAAUCAGAUACAAUCAAGGUCCGACUACGGAACCAAAAUAAAAGAAGACUACCCCCAAAGCUACACAGAUCCCCGAUCGACCCCAACUGGGCUCCACUACUGAUCGACUAGAACGAAACAGCACAAAUGACAAGAUCUUCAACAAGCUCCUCCUUGAGCUUGGUUGCAUCAUCUGCACGGUCUCAUCGGCACCUGCAAGCUGGUUUUUGGAAGUAUCUGUGAGUCACGGGGACUCAGCAAUCUCACACCCUCGCGAUCAAGACUAUUUAAGCUUAUGGGUAAGGCAAAGGUAUGAGGUGGAGCUGCAGCAAGCGACUAGCAUAUACGGUGGCUAACAUAUGCAAAAGAGAGCGAGAAGAGAAGGCAAUGCAUGAUCGAUAAAACUAUGAUCAAAAAGUGAUCCUAGAACAAACUACGUCAAACAUAACUCCAACACCGUGUUCACUUCCCGGACCCCGCCGAGAAGAGACCAUCACGGUAACACACGCGGUUUAUGUAUUUUAAUUAAGGUCAACUUCAGGUUUUCUACAAUCAGACAUUAACAAAUUCCCAUCUGCCCAUAACCACGGGCACGGCUUUUGAAAGUUCAAAUCCCUGCAGGGGUGUCCCAACUUAGCCCAUCACAAGCUCUCACGGUCAACGAAGGAUAUUUCUUCUCCCAAGACAAUCCGAUCAGACUCGGCAUCCCGGUUACAAGACAUCCUCGACAAUGGUAAAACAAGUCCAGCAAGACCGUCCGAUGCGCCAACAUCCUAAUAGGAGCUGCACAUAUCUCGUUCUCAGGCAACACCGGAUGAACACUACGUACAGCUAAAACCAGCCCUCAAGUUUCCCCAAGGUGGCGCCGUAAGUGGCUCUAGUUCGGACCAAUACAUAGACAAGCACUAGCCCCGAGGGGGUUAAAAUAAAGAUGACCCUCGGGAUGCGCGACUCCCAAGGGAAAAGGCUAGGUGGCGAAUGGUAAAACCAAGGUUGGGCCUUGCUGGAGGAGUUUUAUUCAAAGCGAACUGUCAAGGGGUUCCCAUUAUAACCCAACCGCAUAAGGAACGCAAAAAUCCGGGAACAUAACACCGAUAUGACGGAAACUAGGGCAGCAAGAGUGGAACAAAAUACCAGGCAUAAGGCCGAGUCUUCCACCCUUUACCAAGUAUAUAGAUGCAUUAAUUAAAUAAGAGAUAAUGUGAUAUCCCAACAAAAUAUCCAUGUUCCAACAUGGAACAAACUCCAAUCUUCACCUGCAACUAACAACGCUAUAAGAGGGGCUGAGCAAAGCGGUAACAUAGCCAAACAAUGGUUUGCUAGGACAAGGUGGGUUAGAGGCUUGGCUUAACAAUAUGGGAUGCAUGAUAAGCAAGUGGUAGGUAUCGCAGCAUAGGCAUAACAAAAGAGCGAGCAUCUAGCAAGCAAAGAUAGAAGUGAUUUUGAGGGUAUGGUCAUCUUGCCUGAGAUCCCGCAAGGAAUAAGAACGAGUCCAUGAAGAAGAUAAACGGACGUAGUCGAAUAGAUCCUCACACACAUGACGUUAUCGGAACCAACCCGAAGAAGCAACACCAGAAAGAAGCAAACAACAUAGUAAAAAACCAACACAUCAACAUGACAUGAUGCACAAUCGAGUAUGAUGCAUGUCCGGUUUAAUGAAGCAUGGCAUGGCAAAGUGCACAAACAAUCCUACAAAUUAAGUGGAGCUCAUUAUGCAACGGAGUUGCAUAUUGAAGAAAACACCACAUGACUUAUUUAGCUCUCUCUCGUUUAUGUACCCAACAAGAUUAAAUGUUGUUAGCAUGGCAAGAGAUGAAGCAUAAAGAAACUAUCUAUCUAGGCAAGUUUAAAUGAGGUCAGAAAUAACAAACAACAAUUCCGGAAAAACCUCAUAUGCAUAUUUUACGGUUUGGUACUGUUCUGCCCUAAAUCAUAUUUUAGAGUUAUUAAACAUGCAAAGUAAAGCCAUCAUGUUAAACUAGGCAUUUUUCUACCCCAUUUACAUAUAAAGUUUAUUAAAUUCUGAGUUACGAUUAUUUAGUUAUGAAUUAAAGCAUUUUAACAUGGCAUAGGAGCAAAUUUAAUCAAACAUCAUUUUAAAUAUUUUAAAUAUGGAUGAAAGUUGCAUAUUAUUAAACUAGACAAAAUUCUAAGCAACUUUCAUAUAUAAUUCAUUUUAAUCCGAUGCACUAAUUGUGAGUUACUAUAUGCAUGAUCCACAAGGGCUUUCCUGCAAAAAUGCUCUCCUCUGGAAAAAUAGACAAAUUGCAGAUCUGAAAAAAACAGAGGCGGGCCAAAUCGGACUGGACCAACAGUGCACAGUGGGGGUUCUCACCCAGUGGGCCUUGGCCCAAGGUGGUGGAAACAGCAGGCCGGUGGAUCUGGCGCGGCUGGGCCUCUGCUUAGCGAACAAGGAGGUGGAGGGGGCGCGGUCAACGGGACGACGAGCGAGGAGCUGCGGCUCGUUGCAGGGGAAGCAGAGAACGCCACGGCGACGCUGGACUUGGCGCGGCGAUGGGAAACCUGCCGGAUACAAGGUGGCGCAACCGGAUCAGGCAGUAGUUGGACUUGGCGCUGGACGCAGAGGACGGUCGUCGCGGGACCGGGGUGACGCGGAUGAGUGCAUGAGCUCGAUGCAGAGGAGGCGGGCGACGGCUGCUUGCGGUUCAGAGGACGAGGUGAGGGCAGCGCCACAUCGUUGGACUAGGCAGCUUGCAGGUGCGGGCGUAGGAGGAAGGUGGAGGAGACCGGCGAGGAUGCAUGGAGGAAGGCGAGCAGCGAAGGUCGACGCCGUCCUGUGCGGCUGCUACAGAGCCUCCGGCAGCGCGGAUCCUGUCGAGGACAGGCGCGAGAGGCGAGUCCGUCGCGAGGAAGCUCUGAAGCAACGAACAGGGUGCGGGGCGCCAUGAGGACGGGCGCGGGGGCCUUGGGGCCUGGCAUCCAUGGCGGAGGCAGCGGCGCUGGAGGUUCCUGGUGGCCGGAUCGCAGUGCGGCGGGGCAGACAGGGUCCUGGAGGCAUUCGGGCAUCCAUGGCAACCUGCGAGACACGGAGAGAAAGGGAGAGAUGUGAGAAGAGGGAGCAGCAGGGAGAGAUGGUGGGAAGGGGAGCAGCGGCGGAGCUCCACUCCUCUGGAUCGAAGAGGGAGGAGGAGGCUCUUGAUCGAGGCGGCGGGGUCUCGGAGUUUGGGCAGGUGGCUGCGCUCGGGAUCAAGGUGCUCGGGGAUAAGCGAGCAGAGGAGGGGAUCGAUGGAUUGGGAAGGAGUGCACUGGUUGGGUGGCGGCGGAAAUCAAGGGAGAGGGUCGGAGAGAAUUUGGAUCGGGAGGAGAUCCCGAGGUGGGAUGGUGAGUGGUGGCGGCGGCAGGGAAUAGGAGG